This 1454-nucleotide long non-coding RNA is filed under the name Anser brachyrhynchus (Pink-footed goose). RNAcentral describes it as "lncRNA (ENSABRG00000005442.1)". Lineage: Eukaryota; Metazoa; Chordata; Aves; Anseriformes; Anatidae. The record is from RNAcentral.
AAGGAGCAGUAUACUAAUUCAGAUAAACUGAAUAUAAUUUGGUUCCCUGCUGAGCAGGUAGUAAAUUGCUUCUCUGUAGAAGUGACCGUGUCCUGUUUUAUAUGUCAGUCAUUUAUAUUUGUGAUUCAUGGUUAUUUAAGAAUCUGUAUUGAAAGAAGAUUUUAGAAGGAGAUCCAGAGGAAUAACUCACCAAAAGAUAAAUGUGAAUGAAAACAACGUGUUUUGUUCCAAGUUAUUUUGUCAUAACACAGGGUCUGUCCAAUGGUUUGUUGAAUAUCCCACAAGCCCAGUAUUAGGGGAAAAACAUGAAGCUCCAUUUGAACCCUUCAGGAACUAAAGUUGUAAUUGUUUUAGAGUUUUCAGUAGGCCACAUCCCACAGCACAAUGAGAAAUCUGGCACAAUAAUUUGUAGUUUGCCAUUCCUGAAUGAUGCCAAAAGGCUUAACGUUGUCCCAGCAAAAAGCUCAACUUGAAAAAGAGUGAACCUGGAAAUAAGUUAUCCCUGGUCCCAGCAGUCUGAGCUGUGGAAGGUGACAAAAGGCAAAAGGAAGCACAAGUGCUGCAGAGCAGGAAUACCAGAAGGAGGGGCUCAGGAGCCAGGAAAAGAAAAGUGGAUCUUCUACAAAAUCAGGUGAAGGAGGAAAAAUCCAAAAGAAAUCCAAGCAUUAUACUUUGCCAAAUGGGAACUGAACCUGAGUGCACAAAUCUGGAUUUGGUGGUGAAUGCUAAGAACUUCCCUGAUUACGUUGUUCCUACAAUCCCCAGCAGCACAGGAUGUUGGUGGAGAACUCUGCCCGUCCCUCGGAAGCAUAAGGCAGACAGCAAAACCAAAGAGCUCCUGACAGGUACCUGCACUGCUUCCGCAACUUAUGUUGAGUUUAUAAGCUAAGAAGAAAAUCCCUUGAUACUGAAAUCCUAAAAAAACCUCCAGAUGUUUGUACAUCAGUCGUCCACUUUAAACUGGACAGUGUGAACAGCAAAGGGAGCUAAGCUACAAAAAUAUAAGAAAAUGAAUUAUUCAUAAAAGUGUUAUAUUUGUACUGAAGUAGUAUGACAAAACAUUUUAAAGCAAAGGUUAUGGAUUGUGGUAUCAGCAUAUGAUUAUACUGUAAGAGUGAUUUAACUAAUUCCAGUUCUACCAGAUAUGAGCAUCUAUACUGGAAUUACGCAGACGUGCUAAAUUUUUACUUCCCCGUUUUAUGCAUAAAAUGUUAAAGCCUAAGUGUCCAUUUUGAGUUCUCCUUAAACAUGAUGUCUUAACAUACUUCAUUGACUUGGAAGAACUGCAAACAAUAGUAUGUGGUAACUACCUGCAGUCCAAGACAUUACUCGGCUCUGGUGGAGACGUUGUUGGCUGGAAGUCUGCUGGGGCGUCCCAUGCUGGCAUCUGUCGAAAUGCCUUAACUUACCGCCUGAACACACGGCCCCGGCGCUCCGGGAGCACAGGAGCGCGG